GACGAACGCUGGCGGCGUGCUUAACACAUGCAAGUCGAACGGAAAGGCCCCCAUCUUGGUGGGUGUGCUCGAGUGGCGAACGGGUGAGUAACACGUGUGUGAUCUGCCCUGUACUUCGGGAUAAUCUUGGGAAACUGGGUCUAAUACCGGAUAGGACCAUGGUUUAGGGUCUCGUGGUGGAAAGUUCAUCGUUUUGGUGCAGGAUGGGCUCGCGGCCUAUUGGCUUGUUGGUGGGGUAAUGGCCUACCAAGGCGUCGACGGGUAGCCGGCCGGAGAGGGUGGGCGGGAACAGUGGAACGGCGAUACGGCGCAGACUACUACGGGAGGCAGCAGUGGGGAGUAAUGAACGAUGAGUGUAAGACUAAUGCAGGAAGGCCGAGUGGGGAAUGACGGCCUUCGGAUUGUAGCCUCCUUUCGUUAGGGACGAAGCCACGGUUUUGGGGUGUGGUGACGGUAACUUGGUUAAGAAGCACCGGCUAACUACGUG
Molecule: ribosomal RNA, 487 nt
Filed under: uncultured bacterium
Lineage: Bacteria
Description: partial 16S ribosomal RNA
Rfam family: Bacterial small subunit ribosomal RNA
Source: RNAcentral